AGGAUUAUAGUUUAAUAAAACAUUUGAUUUGCAAUCAAAAAUUAUUGGUUUAAUCAAUUUAUCUU
This 65-nucleotide transfer RNA is filed under the name Amplypterus panopus. Its description in RNAcentral is "tRNA-Ala". It matches the Rfam family "tRNA". From Rfam's summary of the family: Transfer RNA (tRNA) molecules are approximately 80 nucleotides in length. The record is from RNAcentral. Lineage: Eukaryota; Metazoa; Arthropoda; Insecta; Lepidoptera; Sphingidae.